RNAcentral lists this ribosomal RNA (253 nucleotides) under uncultured bacterium. RNAcentral's name for it is "partial 16S ribosomal RNA". It matches the Rfam family "Bacterial small subunit ribosomal RNA", at positions 524 to 776 of the family's 1533-position model. The record is from RNAcentral.
UACGGAGGGUGCAAACGUUAUCCGGAAUCACUGGGCGUAAAGCGCAUGUAGGUGGUUUUGUAAGUGGGUGAUUAAAGACCGUUGCUUAACAACGGGAAUGUUGCCUAUACUGCAUGACUUGAGAAUAGUAGGGGCAGGCGGAACUUUGGGUGUAGGGGUGAAAUCCGUAGAUAUCCAAAGGAACACCAAUGGCGAAGGCAGCUUGCUGGACUAUUUCUGACACUGAGAUGCGAAAGCGUGGGGAGCGAUCCGG